AGUCGAGCGGUAAGAGAGCUUGCUUCUCUUGAGAGCGGCGGACGGGUGAGUAAUGCCUAGGAAUCUGCCUGGUAGUGGGGGAUAACGUCCGGAAACGGACGCUAAUACCGCAUACGUCCUACGGGAGAAAGCAGGGGACCUUCGGGCCUUGCGCUAUCAGAUGAGCCUAGGUCGGAUUAGCUAGUUGGUGGGGUAAUGGCUCACCAAGGCGACGAUCCGUAACUGGUCUGAGAGGAUGAUCAGUCACACUGGAACUGAGACACGGUCCAGACUCCUACGGGAGGCAGCAGUGGGGAAUAUUGGACAAUGGGCGAAAGCCUGAUCCAGCCAUGCCGCGUGUGUGAAGAAGGUCUUCGGAUUGUAAAGCACUUUAAGUUGGGAGGAAGGGCAGUAAAUUAAUACUUUGCUGUUUUGACGUUACCGACAGAAUAAGCACCGGCUAACUCUGUGCCAGCAGCCGCGGUAAUACAGAGGGUGCAAGCGUUAAUCGGAAUUACUGGGCGUAAAGCGCGCGUAGGUGGUUCGUUAAGUUGGAUGUGAAAUCCCCGGGCUCAACCUGGGAACUGCAUUCAAAACUGACGAGCUAGAGUAUGGUAGAGGGUGGUGGAAUUUCCUGUGUAGCGGUGAAAUGCGUAGAUAUAGGAAGGAACACCAGUGGCGAAGGCGACCACCUGGACUGAUACUGACACUGAGGUGCGAAAGCGUGGGGAGCAAACAGGAUUAGAUACUCUGGUAGUCCACGCCGUAAACGAUGUCAACUAGCCGU
This 766-nucleotide ribosomal RNA is filed under the name Pseudomonas sp. RNAcentral describes it as "bacterial SSU rRNA". It matches the Rfam family "Bacterial small subunit ribosomal RNA", at positions 60 to 823 of the family's 1533-position model. Lineage: Bacteria; Pseudomonadati; Pseudomonadota; Gammaproteobacteria; Pseudomonadales; Pseudomonadaceae. The record is from RNAcentral.